UGGAGGACUGAGAAGGUUAAGCAGCUUCCAGUGCUGUUAUAACUGGUUAUAGCCUCCAAAAGUAACUCACAAACCACUCUAUUAAGUGGCUCUGUUCUUGUUCAGAGCUGAUGUGCAGUGUGUUUGUGAACAACAC
Small nucleolar RNA from Cottoperca gobio, 136 nucleotides. The record is from Ensembl. NCBI's taxonomy places the organism in Eukaryota, Metazoa, Chordata, Actinopteri, Perciformes, Bovichtidae.